This 20514-nucleotide long non-coding RNA is filed under the name Vitis vinifera (wine grape). Its description in RNAcentral is "long non-coding RNA (VVIN_LNC002780)". Lineage: Eukaryota; Viridiplantae; Streptophyta; Magnoliopsida; Vitales; Vitaceae. The record is from RNAcentral.
AAGCAUGCCAUACAUUGGGUGAAGAAGGACUGGGAGUAUUGAGUAGGGAAAUAGAGGUCCUUUGAACCAGGGGCAGGUUGGCUCAAUUCUUUAAUUAAAUCUUUGUUUCUCCUGAAACAUAUGCCACAUCAGAAAAGGCUUCAAUAACCAAUUCAAGCUUGCAUGAUGAACAUUGAGAUGUGUAUACAUGACAUUUCAAUAUCAUAAUGCUUUCAGAUAACCUAUAGUUGAAUCACCUGUAUAGGUCCGAAUUUUUGUAUAUUUCAGUGAAAUCCACCCCCAACAAGAAUUCUUGUGCCGAAGAGGUAACUUCCAGCAUCCAAGUUGCAGGGUUAUAACCAUCUUUGAUUUUACUCACUCCUUCAAUUCCCUUAAUGAUAGCAAGUCACAUGUAUUAGUAAGCACUUGAUAUGAAUUAACUCAAACUAAAUUAUUUGCUGCUUAUAGCUUUUACUUUAUCAUGGCAGCUUACCUGAAAAUACUUUAUCAGAUGAGAAGAAUGUCUACCCAGUGGUCCCACAUAUAUCUCUUGUCCUCCUCGCUUCAACAGGAGCAACUGCAAAUCCAUUUUAAAUAUUUCAGUACUUAUAUGCAAAGCUCAUAGAAGGGAAACUAUAAAUUCUUUCUAUCCAUUAACAUUUCCCACCUCAUCAAAGGCUUCAAAGAUGUCAAUACUUGGCUGAUGGAUGGUGCACACAACUGUUCUUCCUGUGUCCACUGUGUUCCUGACUGUUCUCAUAACAAUUGCAGCAGCUCUUGCAUCUAGCCCUGAAGUUGGCUCAUCCAUGAAUAUUAUUGAGGGAUUUGCCACAAGCUCAACUGCAAUGGUCAGCCUCUUGCGCUGCUCUGUUGAGAGACCAUUUACACCUGGCAACCCAACUAGUGAAUCCUUCAAUGGGGUCAGUUCCACGAGCUCCAUGACUUCCUCAAUGAACAUCUGUAACCAUUAGCAAGGAUUAGAAAUUGUUUAAAAAAACAAUGCAAAGCCAUAGCAGAGAUGGUAAAAAAAUUGACACUGCUUGUGACUCUUUUCAGUUAGCAGGUUGUGAACAAGUUUCUCUAGUCUUAUUAAACAGAUCAGUUCAUGGUUGCCAAUGCUCAAUAACACCUAUUAGCAUGCAUGAACUUCACCAACUUGUAUUCCAGGUCAACCAAAUUUGAACCAGCACCUUUCCCCAGGGUGAAGGUCAAGCCAAAUUUGAACCUGAUCUAAGCUCAACCAAGUUUGAAAAAUCAAUUCUAGGGCUUUACUUGUUCAGAGCACUCAAUUGAAUAAGACAAAUGUGGAAAGAACUCAGGAAGCCCUCACCUUUCUAGUUUUAGAAUCCACAUCAGCAGGCAACCUCAGCCAAGCAGAGUAGAGCAAGGACUCAUGGAUAGUAACAUGAGGAGAGUGGAUGUCAUUCUGCUCACAGUAUCCAGAAAUUCGAGCAAAAGUCUCUUGCUUCUUUGGGUAGCCAGAAAUGUUGAUGUUACCCUCAAUAUAUCCACCAGUUUUCCGACCAGCCAGUACAUCCAUGAGAGUGGUUUUACCAGCACCGCUAACACCCAUCAGAGCUGUAAGAACACCAGGCCUGAAAGCACCACUCACCCCCUUUAGAAGCUCCAAUCUGUCUUCAAGGACACCCUGACUUUUCAUUUCCUACAAAUUCAAUUCAAACAACUUAGUUCUCAUUUUUGGUUUAUUAGUGCUGCUAAAGCAUGUACAUUAUUUGCAUUAACAUGGAGUUACCUCUGGCAUGUCAACUGAGUAUCUAAUAUCAUCAAAGGUGAUAGAAAGUGGUUGGAAUGGAAGAACCAUUCCUUUUUUGUUGUUACGUCUAGCCUCAGCAAUGGCUUCUGCCCUCACAGAUGAGGAUGUGGAUGAGAUGCUUCUCCCAAUUUCGUCUCUCCUCUCUGCAUGUUAAGUUUAAAAUUAGUGAGCCAUGUAAAACAUGUGGUUAAAUGACAAGAACAAAGGCACACAUGCACCAUGAAUGAGUUUCAUCACCUGUGGAUGCAGUUUGGUCAAUCGAGCCUCGUCUAUGGGAUGAUAACUCGAUCUUCCCUCCAGUUUUGGAAUUCUCAGACUCUUCUGUUAUAACAGCUUGAGGCUUCUCAAAUGCUGCACAAUUUGCACAAAUCUUAGUACACUAAUCUCCAAUAUUUUAGGAUUUUCAACACAGAGAAUGUAAGGAUACCCACCAUUUAGGUAAGUGAGAGCCACAGUGUAACAGAAGUUGAAGACUAAAAUGAAUCCAAGCAGUGCCCCAGCUCCUAUCCAGUACCAGUAUGCCUCUGUGAAGAACCCGCGAGACUUCAAUACUGCUACUCCAAGGGAUUCUGUUGAAUCGGUUGAAGAAUUCUGAAAAAUGGAAAUACAUUCAAUCAUCAGUUACUGACACAAAUAAACACAAAUAUUCACAUGAAACAUUCAUAAACUUACUUUGCUCCAACUCUUCCCAAGGAAUUCAUUUACCACUAUUGCGUUCUGUGCAUACAUCAGAGGGGAAGACCAGUAACCCCAAAUCCACCAUUUCUUGACAUUUUCUACAGCAAUGACCAAAUACAAGAAGGAAACAAAAAUUCAUUAUUAGGGUUUAUGAACAAGAAGGUCCUAGUUUCCUAAAAAAAAUCUUUCCUCCUUAUACCUCGUGACAGGACAAAACCACCCAAUGCAAAGAGCAAAAGUAAUGAAAAUGACCCAAAUGUGUUUGCAACAAUCAUGUUUCUACCAGCUGCUGCAAUAAAUCGAAACAAUGCAGAUGCCAUCUGAUUAACAAGCACGAGGAGAAGAUAUUGUUUAAACAACCUGCAAUAAGAAGAUUUGUUUAUUAGCAUUGAUCAUUUUGGAACAAAGAAAACAUUUGAAACAAAUCUGGACAUGUUUCUUUUACCUUCCCACAUUUGGAUCAAAUCCAAUGACAUAAUAAGACAUGAACACCCAAACAGCAACUUCAACAAAUGUGAUGGGGAUCUUGAGGAUCCAUGAGGGGAGUGCAUACGCCCAUGCAGGGUAGAAUAGUAGGCCUCUUUGCUUGUAAAAGACAGGAAGUUUUGCAAUGGUCAUGGCAAGUUCUGACAUUCCAUUAAACAUGAUCAUGACAACAGUGAAGAACAAAGCACCCGUGUAAAUGCUUCCAUCAUCUGUUGAAUUUUUGUGCAUCUCAGUUCUUAGGAAGAUUGUCAUGGAAAUUGCUGCCAUUAUUAUGAGCUAAAAGAAGAAACAAAAAUAAUAAAUUACGAUCAAAUGUACAAAAUUGAAAGCCAUUGUUAUAAGUAACAACAAUAAUAAUACUCACUUGGGUGAGCUUGAAAAUAUAGACAAAUGAAUUCCUCUUCAUCAGCAAGUACUCUCUUGAGAUGCAAGCAUCCAACAGUUCCUUCUUUCUAACACCAUAUUUUUCAGUUUUCAAAGCAGCUGGGUGGCUUUUGGUCUUGUCGAAUGGAGUUGCAAGCUCAUGUCCUAGUUUCCGUCCAAUGUGAAAUGACUGGAAUGCCUCGGCAAAUUCCUUGACUGUGACAAAACUGUAAGGCUCAUCUUUACGUGCCCAAUACUGCUGCUGAUCUUUCCUAGAUGUUACCUGUAAUGAAUUUUAAAAUUCAUGUUCUAGCUUGAUUUUUUCUAAAGAAGGAAAAAAAAAUUGAGAAGAUGCCUAAAGGUACAAAACUAUUAGCACUCACUUCUUGUAGGAAGUCUGCCACACCCUUCCUUUCAGGACAUCUGAAGCCCAUGGAUUCAAAAAAGUCAAGAACGUCUUCACGAGGACCCUGAUAAACAAUCUGGCUAUCAGAGAGGAGAAUGAUGUCAUCAAAAAGAUCGUAAGUCUCAGGUGCUGGCUGGAGGAGAGAGAUGAGAGCAGUCCCAUUGAGAAUGUGGAUGGUUUGCCUGAGAGAAUUCACGAUUUGAUAAGUUGUCGAGCUAUCCAACCCAGUAGAGAUCUCAUCCAUGAACAGUGCCUUCGAUGGUCCAACCAGCAUCUCCCCUGUCAUUCAUAUAUUUCACAGUUGAAUUAACUUAAAUUAAUGAACGAAAAAAUCUAAUUUAUUUUAUUUGGUUGGAAACCAAAUUAUCCUACCAGUUGUGACACGCUUCCGUUGUCCUCCAGAGAUACCCCUUAUCAUUUGAUCUCCUACCAAGGUGUCUGCACAGACUUCUAGUCCCAGAAUCUGUAAAUUUAAGUGUAAAUGAAAAUAAACAAAUUAUGACUUAGAAUUGGGUUUUCUCAGAAAUCUGCAUUCCAUCAUUGAAAGUUCUAUGGUUAUGAUACCUUCAGUGUAUAGUCAGUGAUUACAUUCUCCUUCUGGCCUUCCGUUGCCACUGCCUGAAAUAUUAAAAACCAAUAAUGUAAAUCUCACUCACCAUCAAACCAAUAAGUACCUUAAGAAAUUCCAAGGAUAAGAGAUUUUGCUCUGCAGAACUGGUUAAAAUUUCACUCAAAGUAGCUUCUGUCUCACCUUCAUGAAGACAUCGAUAUCAGGAUCAGGCUUAAUAUUUGCUGCCUUCUCUCUUCUUGAGAGCUCUGCUAACAUGUCUGCGAAUAGCCAAAUAAAAGUCAACCUCCUGGCUUAUGCAAAUUUCAUAUAACUAAAUUCACAAGCUUCAAAAACAAAGAAAAUAAAAGUAAAAGGCAAUGAAUGGUUUAGACCAACCAUAUCGAUCUCCAACACCCUGGCAUCUUGCAGAGAAGGCCAAGGUUUCCCGUACAGUCAUUUCUCCUAUAUGGGUAUCAUGUUGGCUGAUGUAGGUUGCAGUUCUCUGGGGUACAAAUUCAUUCAUGCCAUGACCAUUGUAUGUCACCUUUCCCGUAACCUAAAAGCAGGAAUUUCAGUUUCCAAAUUGGAUAUGAGAUUAAACAGCUAAAAAUUGAAUAUUCAUUAAAGAACAAAAGCAAUAAUUUUUUUUUCAUUCAACCUUUAGACUGGAAUCAAGCUUUCCGGACAAAGCCAAUAAGAGAGUGGUCUUUCCAGAACUUGGAGGACCCAAAAGCAAUGUCAUUCUGCAGAAAAAAAAUAUGCACAAAAGAUUGAGUAUGGAUCUUCAGGAUAUUCUAAAUUGGAGAAAGUAAAAAAAUCCAUUUGAUAGAUAUAUAUAUAUAUAUAUAUAUAUAUAUAUAUAUCUCAAUUAAUUUUUUUACAGAAAAAAAAAGAAAAAAAAUCAUAUUCUCACCUUCGAGGUUUGAUGAUUCCACUAACAUCGUGAAGAAUAGUGAGUUUCUUCUUUCUACUCGGAAGAAUCCGAAGAGUGUUCAAGAUAUCCUUUAAAACAGAAAGAAAAAUUAUAAUCUAAAAACAAACUUUCCCAAGAGAGUAUUUAUUGCUUAGCUAGUGAUCUGUAUUUGCAUUUUAGUUACCUCAAUUUGAUUAAAAGCAGAAUAAAUGAAUGAAGGCAAAGCUCUGCUUCCUACAUGAGCUUCUGCAUCAAUGGUAAGAUGCUCAAAUCUAACUUCAAUUUCGGGAAGAUCAAUCCCAACUCUGAAAAAUGAAAUAGACAUGCAAACCCAUUACUAAAAAGUCAAAGGAAGAUGUUUGGUUGUGAAGAAAAUGCAGGACUAUCAGUCACAUUUAAGGUGGAUUCUUUCUUUUCCACUGUUUUCAAUGUUAAAAAAGAAAAAGAAAAACGGCAAGAAAGGCAAGAGAAGAGGAGAAAUCGCACCUAUCUAUGCGAUUCCUGAGCUUCAACAAGAACUUCUCAUUGUCCUCUUCGGCAAUUUUCACCAACCGCUCCACUAAAUUCUUCUUUUCCUGAAACCCAAGGUUGUGUAUAUCAACUUCACUGGCCUCACCCGCCGAACCCAUCAGCAAGCCUUUCCUCAUCCGAUUGUAGGUGGGAAGUUUCUCGAGGGCGGCCCAUUUCAAAGCUUCCUCAUCAUCUUCAUCCCUCGAAGAACGGGAGAAAACCUCCUCACCAGAGUUCCUCCAUAUGGAAGAACUGUCCUUCCUUAAACUACCACCGGCUCUAUAAAUUUCACCUGUUGCCAUUGCAACACGAAACGAGGAACCCUCCUGCAAAACCCACCAAAACCCAGAAACCUUUCCUACAAAUUAGGGAGAACAAACCCAAAUUUUGAACUCUAGAGCUGAAAAGCUCAAAAUAAGAGAUGGUUCCCCUCCCGCUUUUCCCUGUGCAUGCAAUUGAUUCCGUCUCUUUGUAUUGCUAAAACUUUGUUGUAUGUUGGAAAAACACGAAGAAUGGAAGGUUUAUAUACUGAUUGGAAGAACAGAAAAAUGAGGCCACCCAUAAUUUUCAAGACUACUAAACGUCUUCGUAAUCGCAAUCGUAACUGCUGUUGUAUGCAAAUGCCACGAUGUUUGACCCUUCAAAGUCUUAUUUCACAAUUCGUAAUUUUCAGAUUUCCAGUACCUUGUUUGUCAAGGAACUCAAUAAUCAUUAAAUGUUUCCCAACUGCCAAACCAACUAACUUUCCCGCCCGCCGAAAUUGCACUGUGAAAGAUUUAUAGCAUUUUAUUUAUACUCUAGUUUAAUGACAUGAGACUUUCGGUUUGGAUUGCCUAUAUUAUUUUUAGUAAUUUACCUUAUAUCUUUAAAAUUAUUUCAAAAAAAAAACCCAUAAUAUUAAUUAUUAUAUAAGUUGGAUUUAUUAAAUAUUAAAUAACAUAUAAAUUAAUAUUAAUCAUAAAUUCCCAUAAUAUUAAUAAUUACAAAAGAGUACAUUUAUCAAAAAUUAAAUAAUAUAUAAAUUAAUAUAAUUGUAUAAUCAAUUCUAAAUUACACAUUAUUUAAUUAAAUCUAAAAAUAUUUUUAAAAUAUCAAAAUCAAGCCCUAAAUAACUCACCACUUUUUAAAAAAUAUUUAAUAAAAUAUCAAUUAUUUAUCUUCUUAUUAUUUUUUUAUGAUAUAUAGUAGAAUUUAAAGUGAAAUUUUAAAUUAACACACCAAAAAUUGUUUUAGAAGGAAAAAAAAUAUUUUUUUCUGAUAAUAUUUUUUAAAAUAUAUAUAUUUUUAGUCUAAAAUAUUUUUAAAGAAAAAAUCAACCUUUUGAUCAAAUUUUAAAAUAUUAUUAAAAAAUAAAAAUUAUUUAUAAUAUUAAAAAAAUUCAAAAAAAAUAUUUUAAUAAAAACAUUUUAAGUAGAAAUACUAUUUCGUAAGAUACAAGAUAAGAAUCGCACAUAAAAGCAUUAUAAAUUAUUAGAAUCGCAUCGCAUAAAUCAUACUAAAUCUAACAACUAACCAAACUCAUCCUCUCUAAAUUUCAAUUUGGUCUCUUCUCAAUUUAUUUUUGGAUUGCUUUUCAUCUAGAAAUAGCAACCACAUAAAGCAUAGGCCAAAUACUCUAAAAAUAGGUAGAUUUCUCAUUUCUCACAUGUAGCAUCUAGAAAAAAAAACCGGUAGGGUUGGCAGAAAUAUAGGAACCACAUAAAGCAUAGGACAGAUGUUAUAAAGAUAGGCAGAUUUCUCACAUGUUAGCAUCUAGAAAAAAAAACGGGUAUGGGCUGGCAGAAAUAUAGGAAGGUGGUGGUGUGUAACCAAGACUUUCAUUAUCCAAAUUCACAUUCUUAUGGGAAAAACGUGAUUGACUUCGACACUUGAAAAAAAAAAAACAAUGGAAAGAAAAAGGGAAAUCAUCUACCCAAAUACUUGAAUGAUGAAAUCAAAUCUUUGAUCAUAUCUGCUAGUUUGGAAAGUUCAGUUUGACAACUACAUUGAAGAAGAAAAAAAAAAUUAAAACAUUACAGGUUGUUUGUGAUUUAAAAAUAAUUUUUAAUUUUUUAAGAUUUUUAAUAUUAUUUUUGUCAUUAUUUUUCGAAAAUAAUAAUAAUUUUUAAAAAAUAAGAGUUAUUUUUAUCGAUUUUUAAAAAUAAAAAAAAAAUAUAGAUCUGUUUGAUCAUAUUUUCUUAAACUUAUUUUUAAAUUGAUUAAAAUAAAAAAAUAAAAAAAAUAUUAAAAAUACAUAUAAAAAUGGUUUAUUAAUUUAAAAUAUUUUUUAUUUUUUAUCUUCUAUUUUUUCUCAUUAUUUCAUUUUCAUUUUCCACUUCAAAAUUUUCAAUAUUCAACUAUUGAAUUCCGUACACUUUUUUUUUUAAUGAAAAAGAUGAGUUUUGACUUUUGACACUUUUUCAAAAAAGAUGCGUUUUGAUCCCUUCCCUAUAAUAAUAAAAAAAGAAAUAGUAAAUUUAUUGACGUCACUCCAUGCAUCAUCUUCCUUAAAAGUACAAAUCGUCCUCCUCUUCUUCUCUUACUAUGUUUUUUUUUUGUUUUCAAUUUAUUUAAAGAAAAAAAAAAAUCUUUGGUGUCCGGUGGAAUCAAUCGAAUGAACGAGUGGCUUCUAUUAUUACAAAUUUGAAAAUUUGGCUUAUUUUAUUUUUAAAUAUAGAAAAAAGGCUACAUGAUAACUCCAUAAUAUAUGGAACAUGCAUAUGCCACCCUUUUUGACCCUUCAAAUUCUUAUGUUCUCCGUUCAUAAUUUUCACGUGUGUUCAAGGAAGUAGGCAAGCCUACGUUAAACAAUAAAAAAGAUGUUUUAAAUUUUACCAAAAAAAAAAAAAGUCAAAGGAUUUUUUCAAAAGAAUCUUAAGAAGUAAUUGGACAUCUCAAUAAGAAAUUUUUAAAACUAUAAAUGUAAAAUAUUUUGUUGGCAUUUUAUUUAUAAUUUAAUAAACGUUUUCAAACUUUGGGUUUUUGGAUUACAUGUUUGGAUUAGUAAUUGAAAUGUUGGGAAAUAUCAACGAGGUUCGCCAUGAAUAUGGGAUCAAAAGUCAAUAAACGAUGUUUCAUUAGUUAAGGUUGCUGGCUCUCUUGGUCAAACUCCCUAAAAAAAGUUUAAGUUCCAAAAGGUUUGGGUUGAAGCUUGGCUACCACUAGGGUGAAUUCAAUUAAUAUAUGUGCACAAGUAUAUAUUAAAAUCCAUUAUUAAAAAAAUAUUUUAAUAAAUAAAUUAAUUCUACUUAUUUUAUUUAAUUGAUUACUAAAAUAUAAAAACCAUCAUUAUAAUUUUUUAACAAGACUUUUUUUUAUAUCAUUUAUGUGAUAAUUAAAUAUUAAAAAUAUAAAUAGGAUAAAAAAAUGCAUAUAAUUUUGAAUGUUUUUAUUUUAAAAUAUUGAAAAUAUAAAUUUAUUUGAAAAUUGUUAAAAUAUAAUAAUAAUAAUAAUAAUAAUAAUGAAGUUCUAAUAUUUUAUAAAUUAAAAUUAAUUUAAUAAGAUAAAUUAUUAAUAUAAUUUUAAUUAUUUAAAUAAAUCAAUGUCAAUAGCAAAAAGUUGUCACCAUAAGUAAUAAAAUUUUAAAAAUUAAAACUCAAAUAAAAUAUUUUAUAUAAGUCUUAAAAUGUAGUUAAUUUUUUUUAUUUGAAAUGUAAUAAAAUUUUUAAUUUUUAAAAUAAAUGAAUAUAAAUAUAUUAAAGGAAUUUGAGAUCAUUUUUUCUAUAAAAAAAUUUGAUAAAUAUUGUCCUUGACCAUACCUAUGUUAGUUACACCUACAAAAUAACUUUAACAUAUGUUUUUUUACUUAUUUUAUCAUUUAAAACUUUUUUAAAUAUUUUCAUGAAUUUUGAACAAUUUUCGUCUUAUCGAUAUUUCUGAUAUAUCCAUAAAAUUCAAAUACUGAUAUAUUCGUAAAAUCCAAUUAUUGAUAUAUAUAUACAUGUUUAUAGAUAUUUUCAUCUUUGCUUUGGAUGCAUUUUUCUAUUUUUUGUUUUUAAAUAGAAUACUUUAAAUGUAGAGAAAAAUAUAGGAAUUCUUAUAUAAAAAGUAGGUACAUAUCUUGUAUACAUAAAAACACUUUUUAAAUUUUAAAUAAGUAAACAUUUUCACUUCCAAAAAAUUUUAAAGUUUUGAAAAAAAAAUUAAAAUAUAAAGUAAAUUUGGACUUUUUGUAUAAGAGUUGUUAUAUUUUAUAUAGAAAUUUUUAUUUUUAAAAAUAAAAAAUAAGAAGUGUAUCUAAUAGCUAGACACCUAAAGUAUUUUUUUUACAAUUUUAUUUAUACUCUAAUCUAAUGUUUAUAGAUUGAGUUUGUAUUCAAGUUUAUAUUAUGAUCGAUAUAUUAAGGGAUGAAGCUAAAGUAACUACCGAAAUGUUAUUUAGGUGAGAAAUUAUAAAAAUUAUGAUUGUAAUAAAUAUUUGAUAAAUUUUCAUAAUUUAAAAAGUAGUUAACAAUACCCCUCAUUAUUAUUAAACAAAAUAAAAAACAAUGGACAUUAAUUAUAAAAAGAAAAAGAAAAUAUAUCUUAUAUCAAAUUGAAUAAGAAAAAUAUUAAAUACAUUGGUCAAGAAUAUUUUAGAUUUUAUAAAUAAAAAAAAUCAAAAAAUUAAAAGAUUUUUUCUUCAAAAGAAAUUUAAAAAAAAAAAAGUUAAACAUUUCAAUAAGAAACUUCUAAUAAUUUUGUUUUAUUAAAAAAAUCCUAAAAAUAAAUUUUUAAAAAAAUCAAUAAUUCCACUUAUAAAUUUCUUCUCUUUUUCAAAUAGCUAAAGAUAAUUGACUGAGGAAACCUUUCUAAAAAUAUAGUUUGGUGAACUCCACAAGUAAACUAUGAAUAACUAAGAAGAGUUUCGGAGUUAUUGUUUGUAAUUUAUAAAUAUCAUAUUAAGUUAUACAAUUUUUAUAAUUAAAGUUAAAUUCAAUAUCUCGUAAUUUGAGUCAUUACAUAAGAUUGAAUUUAUCAAAUAUUAGAUAACAUAUAAAUUAAUAUUAAUCAUAAAUUCCCAUAAUAUGAAUCAUUACAUAAGAUUACAUCUAUCAAAAAUUAAAUAACAUAUAAAUUCAUACAAUUUUGUUGGCAAUUCUAAAUUAGUGAUUAUUUGAUUAAAUCUCAAAAAAAAAAAUUAAAAAGUCAAAAUCUAGCUAUAAAAAAUUCGCCACUGAAAAAAUUUAAUAAAAUAUUGUUAAAAUAACGAGAAUAGGUAAUUUAAAAAAAACACUAACAGACAAAAAACACAUAAAUUUACGUGAAAAACUCUAAAUGAGAAAAAACACAAGUAGAAAAGACAGAAAUCCAUUAUAUCAAAAUAUUGGUAUAAGAGGGAAAAGUUGCCAGCAAUUACAGAAGAAACAUAAUUAUCCUAAUCCUAAAACUAUACAUCAUCAUAAUCCUCCCAAAAAUCUCAUAAUUAUAGUUUCACUACAUAUGUUGUACCACAAGGUUUUUGAAUCGGAUUAAAUAGAAUUCGGAUUACCAAAUUCUAAUAAAUGUCAACGAUAAAGUUACAAAAAAUUUAUUUAUUAUAAAUUUUAUGGUAUAUAGUGGGAUUUAAAUAAAAUUAAUUAUAUAAAUUUUCAAUAAAAUUAAAUAAAAACAAAUAAAUCAUCGAUAAAACCUAUAUACAUUCAUAUUUAUUUACUUAUUUUUUUUAUUUUGAUCUUCAACAAGUUUUCAAAAAUAAAACAUUCAUUUUUUCAAAUAGAGUUCAAGUGUGACCAUGAUGCAUAUCACCUUUAUGAGAAUUGCAGGCCCACACUCAAAAUUUUAAAUAAAUAUUUUUAAAUAAUAAUAAUAAUAAUAACAACAAAAAGAAUAAUAAUUAAAUAAAUAAAUAUGAAAUGGGAAUUUCGGAAAAUUAUUCUAAAAUGAAAGUUUUAAAAUUAUUUGAGAAAUGGAAUUAUGAAAGGAGUUUUGGAAAAUUGGAGUUAGGAAAAUUGUUAAAAUAAUAAGAAAAUAAAUAAAAAGUCAAAAUCUUAAUGGGGCCAUGUGCCAAAGUGACCACACUUAGAGGUGGGCCAAGGUCGAAAAAGGUUUUCAAAUGAUGUUUGAACAUCCUGGCAGCCCAAAGAAAAAUAAAACAAAAUCUUGCAACGUGCACAUCCAUGAAUUUACAUCUGUGGCCCCACCAUUCAAUAUCACCGCCAAACCAGAAGAAAACCCACAAGUCCGCAGGCCGUCCUAUGCCAUCAGCAAUAAGCACAAGCUCUGAUUUCUCAAAUUACAAAAUAGCCCCACGGAAAGAAAUUCAAUUUCGAAUCUCCACCAAAAACUCCAAUAAUUGCCUAUCGACUUCACCCAAACUGCAAAACACUAAGGCUAUGUUUGAUUUCCGGAAAGUACGAAGGAAAGAAAAAAAAUGCUAAAGAAAAUGAUUUUCUCAUAUUUGAUUAUCCUAUGAAAAAUAUCAAAGAAAAUAAAAUAUAAUUAAAAUUAAUUAAAAAUUUAUAUAUUUUUAAAUUAUUUAAUCUUUAUAUUGAUGAGUUAAAAUAAAUAAAAUGAGUUUGAAGUAACAAAAAAAUAAUUUAUCAACUUUUAAUCUAUUUUUUUAUUUUUCUUCACUUUUUCUUUCCUUCUAGUUUUCCUUUGUAUUUUCUUUCCCUCGUAUUUUCCCUCAAAUUUUCCGGGAACCAAACAUAGCCUAAUAAUUCAACCACCCUCCAGACCACGCGUAGACGCUCCACUUCCACAUAUUUUGGCACGUAUUCUGUCAAGAUUAUUGGAUGCUGCCCAUGAGGCCUGUUAAUUAGUCGAAUGGUUCUCAACCGAGCCUAAAGCUUUGUCGAGUCAUAACCAGCUUCCCCGUGUUGUUGGCUCUCAGUGAGGGAUACUUCGGACUGAAGACCUCUCUACCAUAUCUCUCAUAAUGUAUCAUGGGCAGAGAAGCAAUGGAGAUUGGAUUGAUUCUUCUUGCUUUCAGGAGCUCUAUUAACUCCAAUUCCAACUUAACUGGAAAUUCCGAACCAAUAAGAGUUAUGGGACCCGUACCCACACCGGAAUUUUCUACUAUCGUCUCCGGAUAACACGCCACCGCAUGGGUCAAUCAGGUUCGUUUUGUAUGCUGUCACUGUAAAUACUCUGAAUAAUCCCCCAAAAAUCUCAUAAUUAUAGUUUCACUACAUAUGUCAUACCGCAAACUUUUUGAAUCGUACUAAAUAAAAUUCGGAUCACUAAAUUCUAAUAAAUGUGACAAAGUUACAAAAAGUUUAUUUAUUAUAAUUUUUAUGGUUUAAGUGGGAUUUAAAUAAAAUUAAUUUAAAAUUUUUCAAUAAAAUUAAAUAAAAACAAAAUAAAUCAUCGAUAAAAACUAUAUACAUUCAUAUUUAUUUACUUUUUUUUUUAUUUUGAUCUUCAACAAGUUUUCAAAAAUAAAACAUUCAUUUUUUCAAGGGAGAAUUAUCUUUUGGGGGUAGAUGGGCCCUCAAAUUAACAAAAGGUUCAUAUAACUCUUGAAAUUGAGUUGAAGGAUAUGAAAUAAUAACGGACAAAUAUACCCUUUAGGAACACAUAUAAAAUAUUUUAUAAAAUUAAGUUAAAUAAUUUUUUUUCAAUAACUUUUUUUUUUUCAAAAAUACUAAAUUAAAUAAAAGUAGUUUUCAAAAAUAUUAAAUUAAAUAAUUUUUUUUUUCAAAAAUAUUAAAUUAUUUUUUUUUCAAAAAUAUUAAAUUAAAUUAAAGUAUUUAAAAAAAUAUUAAAUUAAAUAUUUUUUUAAAUAUUAAAUUAAAUAAAUUUAUUUUUAAAAAAUAUUAAAUUAAAUAAAAGUAUUUUAAAAAAUAUUAAAUUAAAUCAAAAAUAUUAAAUUAAAUAAAAGUAUUUUUCAAAAAUAUUAAUUUUUUUCUCAAAAUCAACAAAGGGUAUUUUUGGAAAUAUUGAAAGAUGAUAUCCUUCAACUCAAUUUCUAUACUUUCAUUGGGUCUUGGGCUCAAUUUGAAGAGUUACAUGGACCUUUUGUUAAUUUGGGGGUCCAUCUACCCCCAAAACAUAAUUCUCCUUUUUUUCAAAUAGAGUUUCAAGUGUGACCUUGAUGCAUAUCAUCUCUAUGCGAAAUGCAGGCCCACCCUCAUGGUGUUCUCUAUUCCCUACUAAAAUAAUUAUUCCUUAGUGGAGCUAAAUAUCCCCAACUCAUUGAGGCAUCCCCAACAAUUGUCAUUAUUACAUCCUUUAUUUCCCAACAACUUUCAUGAAGAGGUAAAGGUACUUUGACAUUCUGCCUAAUAUAGCCAUGGUAAGGCUUCUUAUGAGCAUUUUGCAGUUUGGUUUGUGUAUGGGGAUCAAGCAACUUUUUAAUGUAGAGAAGACUAUACAUUGUGCUAGCAGAUUCUUCAAUGCAAACAUGUUAAUAUAAGAAUACAAACCUUAUAUUUUUAUCUACCAUAUAUUGAUAGGGAUAUUCCAAAUAGUUUCCAAUAUUCUAUAAGAUAUUUAAUUGUAAUGACAUAUACUUAGGAAUUUGAGAUACUUUCUAAUAAUUUUAGUCUCGUAUCAAAUUCAAUUAAGUUAAUCUUUCAUCUUUUCAUGAUACACGCUUUCAAAAGACUUGUUUUAACCAAAUUCUAACUCCACAUCAUGACCAAAUCUUUACUUCACAUCAUAACUUCUUUAUACGCCACACUCUCCUCAUGUGUCACAUGGUUCCUUUUGUGCACCUCAUGUGUCACAUGGUUCCUUUUGUGCACUAUAGUCUUAUCAUGUGUCACGAUUCCCUCGUGUGCUAUGGAUUUAAAAUCAUUUUUUUCCAUUUUAAACAUGUUAUUUCUUUAUAGCAUUUACUGUCUUUUUCAUUCAAGUUUCCUUUUCCUUUACUUUUAGUAGGACAUUGUUAUAAAACUCUACCUCUCACUUGGUCCGUAGGUUCCUUAUUACACUACCAACACACGCUCUAUUCAAAUUAUAGUCUAGUCUCAAUGUUAAUUUUGCAGAGUUAGACGAUACCCUUACGUGUAUUUCACCCUUGUUUGGAUGGCAAAAAAAAGUUUAGGAACUCACAACGAAGUAGGGAUUGAUGUUGAAUUUGUUAUGGGAUGAUGAAUAGAAUACUUUCCUUCUUACUCCUCUAUUCUACAUAAAUGCACAUACGGACAAGUUCGGUAUAAGUUUGUACUAACUCAAUUGGUAAGUGUCACUUUUUUAAUUAAUAGAUGUUGACAAUUUUGUCUUAAAUUAUAUAUUUUAGUUUUAGGAAAAUCGGUAUAUGUAGAGUUUAGCUUUUAGAAAACUCCCUUUUUAGGUUGACUAAGACUAGGAACUUAUUGUUUAGGAUUAGGUCUAUAAAUAUGUGGCCUACAUAGGAUUUUUUUAAGAGAGUGAAAAGAAAGUAAGUGCAUCCAAUUAAGUGAAAUUGUGUCCUUUUUCAUAUUUAGUAGAUUAUUUAACGUUUGAGAGACCACAUUUGUGUGACUGAUUUAUUUAUAUUUGCAUAAGAAUUUUACUCUCUUUAAAGAAUAAGUAUAAAGAGACAAACUUAAAAUAGGUAAUAAAAUAUUAAUUUGGGGAUUAAUUCAAAGACCACACCUUCUCUAUUUCACUUUAUUUUUUUACUGCAUUUGGAUGUUGUGAUUUUCCUAAAAAGUGGUAUCAGAGCCGUGCAGAGAUAAUGGAAAAAUUAUUUUGAUGAAAAUGUCUAACAUAAAAUAUAAUAUUGAGUUCUUUGAUGGAAAUAAUAAUUUUAGUAUUUGGCAAAGUAUUAUUAAAGAUAUUUGGGUACAACAAGAACUUCUCAAAGUGUCACAAUAAAAAAAAAAAAAAAAAAAUCAGAGAACAUGAAGAUUAAUUAGAAGCAAGAAUGGUAAGUGCUAUUUAUCUAAUUUUGAUUCCUAAAAUAAAAUACAUUUUUUAAAAAUGAGAGAUCUCUUUUUUAUUUAUGAGAAAAUUUAGAGAAAAUUUAUAAGCCAAAAUUCUUAACACAUAAAUUAUAUUUGAAGAAACAAUUAUAUGAGUUGAAGAUAGAUGAAGGAACAAAUGUUAGGAAUCAUACAAAUAAAUUCAAUAAAUGCAUGACUUAGUUAUUAAGGGUAGUGGUCAAGAUUGAUAAGAAUGAUCAAGCUAUUAUUUUCUUAGUGUCUUUACGAAAUUAUAUGAGACAUUGGUGAGUACACAAUUAGUUAGAAAGAUGAUAUUAACCAUUAAUGAUCUAUCAACUACCCUUUAAAUAUUGACCAACCAAGUAAUUCGUCUUGUACCGCACAAGCUUUUGUGGUGAAGUUUGAAUCAAAUCGUGAUAAGAGUAAAUCACAAGGAAGAUAUUAUGAUAUGAGGGAUGAUUGUUCUCAACCACACUUCUAGAGGGAUGUGGAGUUUUACUAUUGCCUCAAAAAAUGACAUAUCAAAAAGUACUAUAAAGAAUUGACAAAACACUUAGAAUCAAAGAGGUAAGCUAAAUUCUAGGAGACUUCAAAUUUUACUAAUAUUGUUGAUAAAAAGUUUGAUACAGAUAAUGUUGUUCUUUUUAUUAUAAUUGAUGAUUUUUUUUUUUUUUUUUUUUACUUUUAGAUUUUGGAUUUUGAAUGUUCUUUUCAUAUGUACCCAUAUUAUAAGUGGUUUGAUACCUAUAAGACUUGCGAUGCUAUUACUAUUAUAAUGGGCAAUGAUUCAAACUAUAAAGCUAUUGGGAUUAGUAUUGGGAAGGUGAAGAUAUUGGAUGGUGUUGUGAGGAUAUUGAGUAAUGUUAAGUAUGCUCCUAAGUCGAGGGGGAGUUCAAUUUCUUUGAAGACUUUGGACAAUUUCAACCAUGACUUUUUUGCUAAAGAAGACAUUAUGAAUAUUAGUAAAGGUGCUUUGAUAAUUAUGAAGGAAGAAAGGUGAAAAUUUCAUACACUUUGAUUGAGAAUACAAUUUUAGAUGCAAUUAUGAUGGUGAAGUCAUGCCAUGAAGUGUCUUAUGCUAGUGUUAAAGAAAUUGUCAUAGCAGAAGAGCACAAAAAAAUACUGGUAGUAGAUGAAAAACACAGAAGUGAGAUGAUCAAGGCUUUGUUUUUGGUUAAAAAUACUUAGUGGCACAAAGAUAAAGACUAAUUGAAAAAGAAAAGUUAUGAAAAAAAGAAUGUUCAUCGAGUCAAAGCUAAUGAGAGACUGAACUUGACAUAUACUUAUUCUCAUUGAUUAUGUGGUGGUGGCAAGGGGUGCAAAGAUGGGUAUCAAGGAAAAAUAACCCUACAUAUAGAUUGAGAAUUUGAAUCAAGAUGGAGAUUAUUAGUAAUUUUGACUUAAAUUAUUUAUUUUUUAUUUUUAGGAAAGCCAAUAUUUGUUGAGUUUAGGUUUUAGUAAAUUACUUUUUUAAAUUUGACUAGGAUUAGGAAACUUAUUUUUAAGGUUAGGUAUAUAAAUAUAUGGUUUUACAUUAGAUUUUAGGAGAAAGUGAAAAAAUGAGCGAAAAAUAUAGAAAGAUAGACAAAUUAUGUAUUGGGUUUUGGUAGAGUGACGUUGAGAAGGUUUGAGUAUAUAUUUUUUAAGUUACUAAUAAAUUUGAUCUCUCUCUCCCAUGAAAUCAUGUAAAUCUUUUAUCUUCUCUAUUUUACUUUAUUCUUUAUAUUGUCUUUGGGUGUUGCAAUUUCCCAAUAAUAGAAUGGUUUGAUCUUAUUUUGUUUCUAAGUAAAAUGUAAAUAAGUUAUCAGGUUAGCAAAUUAUUCAUAUACAUUAUUUUUUUUAGUCAUAUCAUCCAUGAACUUUUUCAAGGUGGCAACCUAUUUGGAAAAACCACAUUUGAUUUAAAAAAAGGAGAAUUGUGUUUUGGGCCAAUUGGGCUCAAAAAUUAAUCAAAGAUCCAUAUAUCAUGCACAUUUAAGCCCAAGACUCAAAUAAAGUGUAAAAAAUUAAGUUGAAUGAUAUUAUCCUUCGUUAAUCCCUCAAAUACCCUUAACACCUACAUAGAUAUAUAGUAAGUGUAAAUUUCAAUUUUUUUUUAAGUGUUUUUUUCUCUUUUCUAUUCCCAAUUAAGUAUUACUCAUUUCUAACUUUUUGUUUUUUCUUUUCUUUUUUAAAGAUAUUGAAUCUUUUUACUCUUAUUAUAAGUAAGGAUAAAAAAUCUUCAUAUAAAAUUUAAUGGAUAAUCAAUGAAUAAAAUUUAAUUCUUUUUAUUAUUUUCAUAUAAAAAAUAGUACUAAACAAGGGUUUCAAUUUUUAUUUUUAAAAAUAGUUUUCAUUUUUUAAUUAAAUGUUUUUUCAAAAAGAAAUAUAAAAAUAUAAAUCAUAUUACCAUUUUUUAGAAAGUAUUUUUUUUAAAUAGUUUUUGAACGUAAUUUUUCUUUAUUUAUAAUUUAAAAUAGAAAAUAAUGUUGAUUUCAAUUAUUUAAAAAAAAUUAAAAAAAAACAAUGAAAAAUCCAAAUGGUUAAAAUAGAAUUAUUAUGAUUGCAUGAAUCGUAGUGCUAUAAAGACCAAAAAAGUUUAUAUGAAAAGUUAAUGAGUAUUUUGAUCUUUUGAUAUCUUAUAUCAUUUCCAUCAAUUAUGUAAGUUAUAUGGACGAAAUCUUAAUUUUUUUGUCUAACUCGCUCAAAAUUCCAUUAUCCCUUUAAAAAAUAAAAUAAAAAUCAAAUCCUCCUUAAACAAAGGAAAGAAAAAGAAACAACAAAUCUUGAAGUGAGGUUUCAACAGAUCUUUGUUCAAUAAAGCAGCCAAGCAUUAUGGGGCUUAGUUGAAAGUACUCAUUUUCAUGAGUCCAAACAAUGAAAGAUUUGAUAUCCAGAAGCAUUCACCUAGUCAAAAAAUUUAAUGAGUUUUUCAGCUUGGUAGAGUCAGGUCAAAUCCACAUGUAGUGAUUCUACAAUUCAGAAUAUAACUGCUUCACUUGGAAAUGAUCAUCAGGAUACCAAUGCAUGAGCACCAAAUCUUCUGAACUACUUUUCUUCAUGUGUCCAGCGUAUAAGUAGAAAAUGGAUCAGUAAGUGCAGGCAUGGAACUGUUGGCAAUAAGUCUGAUCUCUCUGAAGAAGGCCUAAGCUUCCCUUUUUGCUAGUUCAAGUCUAUAGAUGUAAUAGUUCUUGGAAAUGGUAUCUGAUUUCAGACUGGUUGGUGUUGAAACCAUACCAUUUUCUUGCUGUCAUUGUGUCUUAAUGUUUUCAGCUACUUAAAGAAGAGACUGAAAGUGGGGCACCAUAGUGGUAAGUUGGUAAUCGGGGAUGAAAGAAAUGCUCAAGGUUGUAUCAGUCUUGAAUUUCAAAUUGCAUAAAAUUGGCAGAAAAAAAAAUACAAGAAUUUAAUAAGAUAGAUGUUACCUGCUCAUUGCAGGGCUAUGAAAACUCUCUAAUAGCCUAUACAUCAAACGAAACCAGUUUUUUUCAUCUUAAAAUCAAAUGUGGAACUGAAAAGGUUACACACAUAUACAUUAACCAAGAGUCUCUGAAGAACUUUUGCUCCGUGUGACUUCUUAUCGCCUUUGGAAGUUCAAUGCCUUAAUGGCAUAGGCAAAGAUAAAUAAGAAAAGCACCACAAACCCAACGACCACAGCUGCAACCACUCCUAGGAAAUCAUGUUUGAAUCCAAAGUAGUCAUUCAAGUAGUCUUUCACUGUUACACCUGUGUUUAGUUCUUCUGUUAUAUCUCCAAACUGUGAUGUAACCAAUCCAUACAAAGUCCAUGAAACUGGGCAUAUCCAAUAGUACCAUCUCCACCACACGGGUAUUCUCUGUAUUCAUCAAGGAAGAAAUGCAUCAAAAUGAGUCAUUCCUGUAUCCAUGUGGCUAAAGAAAGUUGCAAUUUAAAGAACUAUGGGUUGAGAGCACUUACAUUUCGUGGGACUAUAAAACCUGAAAAGAGGUUCCACAAUCCAUAAAAUGCUGCGGCAACAAUGGAAGCGAUAUUUUGAUUUGGUGUGGCAGCCACAGCCAUCAUGCCAUAGAAGGUGAAGUACAUUAAGGUGAAGAACAUGAAAAACAGAUACCAGAAGAACUUAGCGGCUGUCCAUUGAAAUCCAAUCAUUGCAUAAACUAUAAGACCAUACACCACGGCUUGUGAAAAGAUAUAUGGUAUCUCAACUAAAGCCUGCAACAAGAGAUGAGAUUUGAUUAAUAAAACCUAUGAAGUAUUAGAGACAGACAAAGUCUAUAGCAUAAGAAAACUAGUUACCUGUGCAAAGGCAUAUGACAGUGGUGAAUACAUUCCUGCAGCUCUUUCUCUGUAAAAGACUGUUCGUUCAACUACCACAACUGGCUGCACUGACUGGGAAUUUUGAAUCCCAAGGAAGAGAACAGCAGCAUACAUUGAACCCAUUGCAUUAAACAGAUCUUGUUGCGUUGACCUGCAUUUUACCACGUGAAGUAUAAAUCAAUGUUGAUAAAAAAGAAACAUACAGAGUUCUCAAAUUUUUGAACUGACUUCAAAUUACCAUUUGGUGCCCAGAUCCCAGAACAUUGUCCCAAACAUCAAGGCUAUGAAAGUUGUGAAGAGAAAUCUCACUGCCGUGUAUGGUGGGUUGCGCCAGUAUGACCAACGCUGUUUCCAUAAGCAUGCCAAAAAUUGGGUGAAGAAGGGCUGGGAGAAUUGAGUACGGAAAUAGAGGUCCUUUGUACCAGGGGGAGGUUGGCUCAGUUCUUUAAUUAAAUCUUUGUUUCUCCUGAAACAUAUGCCACUUGUUAGAAAAGGUUUCAACAACAAAUUUAAGUUUUCAUGAGAAACAUUAGGAUGGCUGUAUAUUAUUUUUCAAUCUUAUAAUGCAAUUAGAUAACCUAUGGUUGAAUCACCUGUAUAGGUCCGAAUUCUUGUAUAUUUCAGUGAAAUCGACCCCCAAAGUUGCUUCUUGUGCUGCGGUGGUAGCUUCCAGCAUCCAGGUUGCAGGGUUAUAACCAUCUUUGAUUUUACUGACUCCUUCAAUUCCCUUUAUGAAAGAAAGUGAUAUGCAUUAGUGAGCGCUUAAUAUGAAUUAACUCAAACUGAAGUAUUCACUUCUUAUAGCUU